Molecule: small nucleolar RNA, 78 nt
Organism: Onychomys torridus (southern grasshopper mouse)
Lineage: Eukaryota; Metazoa; Chordata; Mammalia; Rodentia; Cricetidae
Product: small nucleolar RNA SNORD115
Exons: 1
Source: RefSeq, a predicted model, not a curated record
UUGUCUAUUAUGACAAACCUAUAUCAUGAAGAGAGAUGGUGAUAUAAAAUCAUGCUCAAUAGAAUGACCCUGAGGCCC